AGAGUUUGAUCAUGGCUCAGGAUGAACGCUGGCGGCGUGCUUAACACAUGCAAGUCGAACGGAAAGGCCCUGCUUGCAGGGUACUCGAGUGGCGAACGGGUGAGUAACACGUGGGUUAUCUGCCCUGUACUUCGGGAUAAGCUUGGGAAACUGGGUCUAAUACCGGAUAUUCAACUUUUGUUGGAAAGCCUUUGGGCGGUAUGGGAUGAGCUUGCGGCCUAUCAGCUUGUUGGUGGGGUAAUGGCCUACCAAGGCGUCGACGGGUAGCCGGCCUGAGAGGGUGUACGGCCACAUUGGGACUGAGAUACGGCCCAGACUCCUACGGGAGGCAGCAGUGGGGAAUAUUGCACAAUGGGCGGAAGCCCGAUGCAGCGACGCCGCGUGGGGGAUGACGGCCUUCGGGUUGUAAACUCCUUUCGCUAGGGACGAAGCUUUUGUGACGGUACCUAGAUAAGAAGCACCGGCUAACUACGUGCCAGCAGCCGCGGUAAUACGUAGGGUGCAAGCGUUGUCCGGAAUUACUGGGCGUAAAGAGCUCGUAGGUGGUUUGUCGCGUCGUCUGUGGAAGUCCGGGGCUUAACUUCGGGAGUGCAGGCGAUACGGGCAUAACUUGAGUGCUGUAGGGGAGACUGGAAUUCCUGGUGUAGCGGUGAAAUGCGCAGAUAUCAGGAGGAACACCGAUGGCGAAGGCAGGUCUCUGGGCAGUAACUGACGCUGAGGAGCGAAAGCAUGGGUAGCGAACAGGAUUAGAUACCCUGGUAGUCCAUGCUGUAAACGGUGGGCGCUAGGUGUAGGGGACUUCCACGUUUUCUGUGCCGUAGCUAACGCAUUAAGCGCCCCGCCUGGGGAGUACGGCCGCAAGGCUAAAACUCAAAGGAAUUGACGGGGGCC
RNAcentral lists this ribosomal RNA (891 nucleotides) under uncultured Corynebacterium sp. RNAcentral's name for it is "bacterial SSU rRNA". It matches the Rfam family "Bacterial small subunit ribosomal RNA", at positions 8 to 921 of the family's 1533-position model. Lineage: Bacteria; Bacillati; Actinomycetota; Actinomycetes; Mycobacteriales; Corynebacteriaceae. The record is from RNAcentral.